CAAGUCGCGCGAACCUUCGGGUGAGCGGCGAACGGCUGCGUAACACGUUGGAACCUACCCCAGAUUCAGGGAUAACUCGCCGAAAGGCGGGCUAAUACCGGAUGGUCUCGCAAGAGUAAAGCUUCGGCGAUCUGGGAGGGGCCUGCGGCCUAUCAGCUUGUUGGUAAGGUAACGGCUUACCAAGGCUAUGACGGGUAACUGGUCUGAGAGGACGACCAGUCAGAAUGGGACUGAGACACGGCCCAUACUCC
This 251-nucleotide ribosomal RNA is filed under the name uncultured bacterium. Its description in RNAcentral is "partial 16S ribosomal RNA". It matches the Rfam family "Bacterial small subunit ribosomal RNA", at positions 58 to 339 of the family's 1533-position model. The record is from RNAcentral.